CCUACGGGGGGCUGCAGUGAGGAAUCUUGGUCAAUGGGCGCAAUGCCUGAACCAGCCAAUUAGCGUGAAGGAAGACUGCCCUUUGGGUUGUAAACUUCUUUUAUAAGGGAAUAACGAUGACAACGUGCUUGUCAUUUGCAUGUACCUUAUGAAUAAGGAUCGGCUAACUCCGUGCCAGCAGCCGCGGUAAUACGGAGGAUCCAAGCGUUAUCCGGAUUUAUUGGGUUUAAAGGGUGCGCAGGCGGGAAAGGAAGUCAGCUGUGAAAUUUUAUGGCUCAACCAUAAACUUGCAGUUGAAACUCUUUUUCUUGAGUACACAUGAGGUGGGCGGAAUUUGUGGUGUAGCGGUGAAAUGCAUAGAUAUCACAAGGAACUCCGAUUGCGAAGGCAGCUCACUGGGGUGUAACUGACGCUCAUGCACGAAGGUGUGGGUAUCAAACAGGAUUAGAUACCCUUGUAGUC
This 462-nucleotide ribosomal RNA is filed under the name uncultured Bacteroides sp. Its description in RNAcentral is "bacterial SSU rRNA". It matches the Rfam family "Bacterial small subunit ribosomal RNA", at positions 338 to 795 of the family's 1533-position model. Lineage: Bacteria; Pseudomonadati; Bacteroidota; Bacteroidia; Bacteroidales; Bacteroidaceae. The record is from RNAcentral.